UUAGAUGAGUAAGACCGGACGCGUGGUGUACAACUCGCAUGCAGAUAACCGACGCGGCGUGAUUGCAAUGCGAGACCUCCCCGGCUAUGGUAUAAAUGCCAUCACAUUUCAAACGAACGUGUCUCGAAUGUAUCAUCACUGGACUGUGUGCAACCAUCGUGGGCGUAUUCUACAAUGCCAUUUCGACUGGCAGUAAACCCAUCAAUUUAUGCUAUCGAAAUCAUUAGCGAUGAACUGCGAAUUCAACAAAGAUCAAUCGUGUCAAUAUGAAUUAGCGUUGUUAAAUGUCAUAAUCAUACCAUACACAUAUUUUGUGUUUAAUUAGAAGAAACAAAGAAUCUGUAUGAAUUGCACAAUUUUAGCUUUAUAGGUCCUGUUUCAUCUGGGCGUUAAUAAAUCUGAAUGUCAAAACACGUAAAUUAAGUGUAUAGAUAGACCAUUUAUUAAAUUGUACAAAUUUAUUGAAAUAUUUACAUUAAGGAGUGGGUGGCAUGGCGAGGCUGUCGCUGCCACAACGCCUUUGUGUGAAACCUCCGUUAUUGUGUCAAAUCGAUUUCUAGUGUUUAUAAUACGAGCUUCGCAGUACUGUGGCAUCUUCGCAUUGAGCAACCGAAUGUUCAAGGCGAGCUACAUAUUAAAAAUUUAAACAAUAUUUACGCAUGUUUCGACACCGACACCUUGGCGCGAACUGACCACAUCAGAGUGUGUAGUAAAUCCGAAUGUGAUCGUCGUUCCGAGGCCGUUUCGCAUUAAAGGAACAAAGGGUUGACUCACGUCCGGACUAUAGUCGUCGGAGAAAGGAGACGGGUUAAAAAUAGAACAUGGCGUUUAAGAGUCCAGUGGUCGCUUGCGACUGCCAUUAACGCUUUCGUAUUGUUUAUUAGUAUAGUUUGAAAAUCAAAAAAGUUUCAAAAUCCGAAAGUUACUUUUUGUUUUUCUUCGAUUUACUUUAUAAGUUAUUAAUUUAUUAGGUAAAUGAAGUGAAAUCAAUUUAAUUAAUACGAUAAGGAUUAUAAUAGUACCGCUGGGAAGGAAAUUGAUAACGACAUAAAUCACAUUAUGUAUUGCAAUGCAAUUCAACAGUAAGAUCGACUUACUCAGUUGUACGCCGGAUCUUUUCAGUGGGUCGCGAUUCCGAUCCGGCGGAGAAUUCAGGCAAAGCACUUCUCUUGCUAGGCCUAGUGUUAGCAAUUAAGGUUGAGCCCGUGAGCUCAUCUACCAGUCCGGUUAGUUAGGUAGAGAAAAAAAUAGAUCGAUAAAUAUAAUAAUAUUAAUAAUAACUUCGCACAAACAACCGUACCAGCCAGCAACUAUACUCUGACGGGCAUUGUUUGCGCUGCACUUAAAGGUUUCCGCAACGUCUGGUUAGGAAACCACCACGACAGCUGAGGACGACGCCAAAACAGGCUCUUUGAGAAACCUUUCCAGUUUAGAUUACGAAAACAGUGGAAAGCUUGUACUACAAAUUUGCAUGAAUCUAUGCACAGAUAAUUCUAUUAGAAUUGAAUCUUAUUAAUACAAUAAAUAAAGAACUCCAUGAAUUAAAGAAAACUAAAGUGCUUUACGUUCUAUAUUAUUGUAAAAUAUUCCAACUUAAUUCCCUAAUUUUAAAAUUUAUUUCAGUACAGAGAACGUAUAUAUAAUUUUAAAGACUAUAUAUAAAUGUUGAUAUUAUGAUGUCAGAACGUCUUAGCUUUAUAACAGGCUGGUAUAACAAUCAGUCUUUUAUCAGAACACGUGGUGUGCUAAUCGAAUCGCAUGACACUUUCCAGUUCUAGAGUAAACUUUACAAUCAUUUUUAAGUCUAACUGAAUUUAUUCAAUUACUAUAUUUUCAGGAGAAUAAGGUCCGGGAAAAACCCAGAAAACUUGGCCUCAAAAAAAAAGGUUAAAUAUAUUUACUUGCGGACA
This is a long non-coding RNA of Bombyx mori (domestic silkworm), 1910 nucleotides long. RefSeq lists it as uncharacterized. The record is from RefSeq and is a predicted model, not a curated record. NCBI's taxonomy places the organism in Eukaryota, Metazoa, Arthropoda, Insecta, Lepidoptera, Bombycidae. The transcript has 2 exons.